Molecule: long non-coding RNA, 443 nt
Filed under: Homo sapiens (human)
Lineage: Eukaryota; Metazoa; Chordata; Mammalia; Primates; Hominidae
Description: non-protein coding lnc-ZCCHC6-2:1
Source: RNAcentral
AUUUGCAAGAAACCUUGAGUGCCCAUUCAACCGGAAGUUUGAAAGUUUGACAGUUUAGUUCGGGGCAUGGCAGGGCUUGUACUUACCAUUGCCAGGGGCCUUUUAAGGGCCCUUGCACCCUUCUGUUUUCCAGGGCACCAUUCUUCUGCUCUGGUUCUGAGAAUAAAGGGAACAGCUGCACUGGAAGUCAGGACUAUAGCAGGCUUGGCCCACUGGCCAGGAGCAGGCUGUGGGAAAUACCUGUGGCCGUGGAGAAACCCAAUGUGUAUUUCAGAGAGCAGCCAUUGGGGCCCUAGGUCCAUACACUCCCUGGAGUGAUUCCAUCUGUCUGUGCAUCUGCUUAUGCCUUUUUCCUUGCCUGUCAUACUUUUAUUCCAAUUCUACUCAUCUUUCAAGACUCAACUCAAGUGCCGUCUUCUCCAUGAAGCCUUUCAUCUACCAUG